Molecule: long non-coding RNA, 316 nt
Organism: Pyrus x bretschneideri (Chinese white pear)
Lineage: Eukaryota; Viridiplantae; Streptophyta; Magnoliopsida; Rosales; Rosaceae
Exons: 3
Source: RefSeq, a predicted model, not a curated record
UCCUCUUCCCUUCCUCUUUCCAACCCUCAAGUUAGUUUCUCUAAAUUUGUAGCCGAAUUUUCUCAAUUUCAUAUCUAAGAAACGGUGACCAUGGGUAUUCCGGCCAAUUUUCGGUGAAGUCUGCCUGAAUUGGACCGCAACCAAGAGAUUGGGGACGAGGAAGGUGAAUCAAGGUUGUUUCCAACCUGGGCCGAGAAGAAUGGAAGCCUUGGAAGGUUGUGGGUGAAACUAAGGUGAAGAGGGUUCUUCUAAAAAAUUAAGAUCAAAGAAGGAGUUCAAUUUAUCAAGGAUCAAGGUUUGGACUGCUAGACAGCAC